CCUACGGGUGGCAGCAGUGGGGAAUAUUGCACAAUGGGGGAAACCCUGAUGCAGCGACGCCGCGUGAGUGAUGAAGUAAUUCGGUAUGUAAAGCUCUAUCAGCAGGGAAGAAAAUGACGGUACCUGAGUAAGAAGCCCCGGCUAACUACGUGCCAGCAGCCGCGGUAAUACGGAGGGGGCAAGCGUUAUCCGGAUUUACUGGGUGUAAAGGGAGCGUAGACGGAAGUGCAAGUCUGGAGUGAAAGGCGGGGGCUCAACCCCAGGACUGCACUUGAAACUGUACGGCUGGAGUACAGGAGAGGUAAGUGGAAUUCGUGGUGUAGCGGUGAAAUGCGUAGAUAUUAGGAGGAACACCAGUGGCGAAGGCGGCUUACUGGACUGUAACUGACGUUGAGGCUCGAAAGUGUGGGGAGCAAACAGGAUUAGAUACCCCUGUAGUC
RNAcentral lists this ribosomal RNA (440 nucleotides) under uncultured bacterium. Its description in RNAcentral is "partial 16S ribosomal RNA". It matches the Rfam family "Bacterial small subunit ribosomal RNA", at positions 338 to 795 of the family's 1533-position model. The record is from RNAcentral.